Molecule: long non-coding RNA, 233 nt
Filed under: Mytilus galloprovincialis (Mediterranean mussel)
Lineage: Eukaryota; Metazoa; Mollusca; Bivalvia; Mytilida; Mytilidae
Source: RNAcentral
UGAAGAUGUAACGAGCAAUUUAGUAAAAUAAAUUUGUCGUAAUCUUUUACGGUUGCGAAGGAGUAGUGGCCACAAGAAAAACAGUGUUUGGGGAGAUAACUCUUACAACGCAAAGUAUUUAAUUACACGGUUGUCACUUUUAAAGCGUAUAAACUAUACAAUAUCAUAUUCCAAAUAUCUAAGCGACAUCUUUUGAAACAACAAAACUACGCAAGAAAAAAAUUAGGCGGAAG